Molecule: long non-coding RNA, 3370 nt
Filed under: Ananas comosus (pineapple)
Lineage: Eukaryota; Viridiplantae; Streptophyta; Magnoliopsida; Poales; Bromeliaceae
Description: long non-coding RNA (ACOM_LNC021624)
Source: RNAcentral
UAUAAAUUUUAAAUUUUAAAUUUUAAAUUUUUAAAAUUUAUAAUUUUAAAUAUUAAAAUUAAUAUUUAUUUUUUAAAAUUAAAAAAUUGAAAUGUGAAAUUUAAAAUUAUUAUUUUUAAUUAUUUAAAUUUUAAAUUUGAUAUUUUAUAUUUGUAACUUUAAGUUUUUAAAUUUGGGAUUUAAAAAUAUAUUUUUUAAUUUUGAGUUUUGAAUUUUAAAUUUUAAAUUAUUAUUUUAAAUUAUUUAAAAUAUAAAUUUGACAUUCUAUAUUUGUAACUUUAAAUUUUUAAAUUUAAAAUUUAAAAAUAUUGAUUUUAAUUUUAAAUUUUAAAUUUUAAAUUAUAAUUUUUAAUUAUUUAAAUUUUAAAUAUAAAUUCAAAUAUAAUAAUUAGGACAAUAUUAUUAUUUUCUAUUUAUAAUUAUUCACUAUUUUUUUUAUUUCACUUACUUUAAUCAAACACUAUUUUGCGUAUAUGUGGACUAAACUUAAUUCUCAAUCAAACACAAAAUUACUAACCCACUUUAAUCUUGAACUUAAUCUUAUCCUUGGAAUAAUUAGUUCUUACUUAACUCCGAACCAAACGAAGCUCUAAAGUUUUCCAAACAUUUCUCACUGUUCCUAGCCUCAAACAAGAAAUUUAAUUCUUGACAACCAUGACAGCAACUGAUCAAAAUUAUUUCCAUAGUGCCCCAUGGUACUUGAUAAGAUCAUGAGCUGCAUUUUUCAGAGAUAAUAGAACAGACAACUAGUUGAUGAAAAAUGGGUAGGAAAAUAGAGAUGAAUAAUAUAUCCAUACAACAAAAUUUUUAAAAACUGAGUUCACAAAAAAAACAGUUUCUAUUGUAAAUAACUCAAAAUCGAUCCAUGCAUGACUGCAACAAGGCAAAUGGGCUUGUUCAUCAUUUUAAAAAUGCCCAUGGCAUGCCUAUGACUCUUUGAAAUAGGAAGGAAGUUCAUGGCAAUGCUCACCACAAAUCCAAAUGGAUGAGGGAAGAGAAGUGCUUGAGAUCUGAAGCGAAAAGUAAACUACAUGCUUGCAUAUUUUAAUAGAAAUAUAGCAUAUUGCAUAAAUAAGUACAUAAGCAACAAAUACAAAUCUUAGCUUAUCGUAAAAGAGGUAUGUCUAUGAUAAACUGAAAUCAACGAAUAAAUCAAAGCAGAAAUGACAUACAUAUUCUAUACAUGCUAGACAUAUGAAAAGGUCUUGCAAGAAGCUAAUUCCAAUCUGUGCAGCACAACAUCUUCCUGCCACAAUGAGCAAAAUGAUCCAUACCGUCCCCAAUAAAAGGCAAUAAAGAAAACAUAACAGCUACCAUUGGUGUGGUUUUAUUCCUGACUAUCACAAUUGAAAGGAAAAGGAAUACAUCUAAGAAAAUGGAUGUCAUGCCUUAAAGGAGAGUUAAAAGGCGCAUUUGGCAUUCUACUUGAGUCAUUUGGCUAAGACGGGUGGAAAGAUUGGCACAUGCCACACCAUGAUACAAGAAUCAUACAGAAAACUGCCUUUUUCAGAAUAUAAUAGACACACCUUUGGUGCGCUUUCACAAACUUCAUCAACCAACCACCCGCACAUUAAAACACAAUUUUCAUUUCCAGGGAAGCUUUAUAAAAGAAUAUAAAGAUAUACAUAUAAGCAAAGAUUUAAGUGCCGUAGUACGAGAUCGUAUCGAAAACUUGCUGACAUAGUAUAGCACAACGUGUGCCGGAGGAGUAAAAUCAAUUAUCUCAUAGGUGAAAUAUCAAAAGCCUAAUGGUUAAUGAUCGGAGAUUGGCCUAAUCCGACCCAUUAAGGCAAAAUGAUCCAAUAACAGCUCACAAAUCUAAGAUGGUACUGCUUUGUAAAUAAAACGGGCUUUAACGGGCCGACUCAGGGCCCACUACUGUUCUUUUUACACAUUGUUUUCUCUCCGUGCCAUUUUUACUGGGCUUUCCAUUUAUGGUAAAGUCGAAAUUUGCAACUCUCGUGAAGUGCCCAGAAUGGAAAGUUUCAGUUUCUCACUACUGGGGCCGGCAAUAUAUACUGGUCACAAAUUUUUUUUCCCUUCUCUUUCUUUUUUUUUUUUUUUUUUUUCUAUUCCCGAGUAAUAAUGAAAAGAGAUAAUUGCUUAAUUUUGAGGUAGCAAUAUCAAAAUGGGAAGAUUCACCACAAAUUUUCUUUUCUUUUUUUUUCUUUUUAAUUAGAUUGAGUAAACUUUUAAAAUUUUGAUAUUAUAAUGUUACUCUAAUAGUGUAUUUAAAUUUUAUCUAAAUAGCUUUUUUGAUGUAAUUUAAUAACAUUUCUUUGUGCCUUUUAUUAAUUGGGAGUUGAGACAUUAGAAAGUGCUGAACUCAUCAAGGAUGAAAUUUACUUAAAUACAAUGAAAAAAGAAGGUUCUUGCAAAUGUAAUGGUAUUACUUGCUAUUUAGUUGUAAUUCCCUUAAUAAUUCAACUUAAUCACAUGAACUCGUAAAUAAAUUUAUCAAAUUGAGACUCGAAUCAUACACUAACUUGAAUAACUGAACCAAAUAACUGAACCAAAUGGACCCUGAUACUUGAUUGCACCACUAAGAAAACAAAUGCAAAGCAAAAUUACAACUAUUUCAUCUUUGGUGAUGCGGAGCAAAACAUGACAGAAAAAACAAACAUUACCAAACAGCGCAAAUUAAUGGCACAGGCAGAACACAACGUCUACUUUGAUACCCUUUAACAUACGUUUAUCAAAUAAGUAACUGCUAUUAAAAAAAGGGCCUUGGAAGUAUAUAUAGAAGAAUCAAUAGUGAAGACGAUAUAUUCAAACUGUCACAAGUUCGAGUGACCUUAAUUGAUCAACGAGAUCAAGUAGAACCAACAUGCAUAGAAAGCAGCAUUAAUCCCACUACGAGUGAUAAUGAUAUAGAUAUCCACAUGCUCCGAGGCAUCGCUCAGAAUUUCUUGGAACUCAUCCGGGAUGAAAUUUAGUUAAAUACAAUGAAAAGAGAAGGUUCUUGCAUAUAAUUAAGAUCCUGGAAUGCAUAGCUAUUUCUUUGUUCUAUUCUUAGGAUAGGAUCCAAUCAUCCAACUGACAGAAGAACCACGAAAAAAAAUAUGCAAACAAAUAUAUUUCAGCUUUAUUCCUACAGGCUAGCAGACACGCUGCAGCUUAGCAUCUGAAAAGAGUCUUCUGAUCAUUUUUUUUCAUAACUAAAAUGUGGCCAUGUGCAACAGCACAAUAACACGAGUGAGUGCAAAUUCAUGUGAGAUACGAAUAGCCAAGACUAAGUGACCAAAAAAAAAAAAAAAAAAAUCACCACAAAACUGCCUCUUAUUCACAAAUCAGCCCAUAGGUCACAUAAUGCCAAUACAGUUGUCUAGUAACAUAUAAGAGUACAUUCCAAAGACACAACAAGCCUACA